RNAcentral lists this transfer RNA (73 nucleotides) under Canis lupus familiaris (dog). RNAcentral describes it as "tRNA-Sup (CTA) (tRNA-Sup-CTA-1-1)". It matches the Rfam family "tRNA". From Rfam's summary of the family: Transfer RNA (tRNA) molecules are approximately 80 nucleotides in length. The record is from Rfam by way of RNAcentral. Lineage: Eukaryota; Metazoa; Chordata; Mammalia; Carnivora; Canidae.
ACCCAGCUGGCUCAGUUAGUAGAGCAUGUGACUCUAGAUCACAGGGUUGUGGGUUUGAGCCCCACGUUGGGAA